Molecule: long non-coding RNA, 9881 nt
Filed under: Gallus gallus (chicken)
Lineage: Eukaryota; Metazoa; Chordata; Aves; Galliformes; Phasianidae
Source: RNAcentral
ACCUGGGGCACGCUGCUGCCAGCACAGCGUGUGCUGCCUUCUUUCUUUAUCAGCAGUGCCUUAUCAGCCCAAGCACUACAGCCAGGAGCUGCGGUGACGCUACACAAGGUAUGUUGACUUAAUGCUGUCGUGUUGACUGAGGGCGGUGACUGCCAGAAGCAGCUCAUAUUUGGUGGUGUUAAAUAGUGGGGAGGCUGGGGGAAGCCCCAGGGACAUGGGAGUUCGGUGGGAGGAAAUGUUAAAUGGUGAGCACCGCUCCCGGGGCUUCACAAACAGGAAUGCAAACUGCAGGAGGGCAGCUGCCAGCACAGCGUGCCAUCCUCACACCAGCCUUUGAGGGCUGCACAGCUGAGGUUUUAACACAGAAUAGAGCUGGAAGGUCCAGAUAGGUUGCUGGUUGGACAUAGUGUUGUUCCCCCGCCCCAUGUUUUCCUCCAGAGCUGAGGUUUAAGUUACCCCAGAUGACAGCUGCAGCGUUAAACCCCCACAAGCUCUGCCCUGGGACUGCAGCAGGCGGCCAGAGAGAAGCCAGAGCUACUGCUUUGCUUUUUUUUUUCCUUGUCUCUUCACCCUGAACAGACCACGCAAUAGUCAGCUGAAGGAAGCUUGCCAGGGAAAAGCAAAAACAAAUUGUGCUCGUUGUUUUGACUUGCUUUUCUCAUUGGAGAACAGCCAUGAACCCAUCCUUCCGGAUUUUUUUUUUUUAAUAUAUAUUUGUUUUUGCCUCUAUAAACAGGAGCUCCUACUUGCUCAGUACAAACAGCUCUCCUUCGAGAAGCUUAUGGGCCCCCUCCUCCUGCCAGCAGCACUGCAGGAACACAACAAACCCCACUAAAAAUAGCUCAGAAUGGGGAUUGGUAGGAGUGCAGCAAGUUGCGCACCGUCAGCAUGGGAUCAGGUGUUCUUAAAAACAAAACAAAACAAAAAACCAAAACAGUGCUCUGUCUUCACGCUUGAUUUUUUAACGCAGAAUCCGGCACAUCUUUUGGCUGAUCUCCAAAUCGGAACAAGCAAAGGCUUCUUGAAGUAGCACAAAUGCUCGAGGGGUACAGAAUGACGCUGAGGUUGGCAUGGGAGCAGGAAGAGCAGAGCUGCCCAAGGCACAUCGUGGCUGUGCACCACUGUUCUGCAUGUGCCUCUCCCUGCAAUUUCACAAGAAAUAGGAAAGGUCUGAGCACAGCCAAGGGCAGCAGCAGCUGCUGUGGUGGCCAGCUGGCUGCAGCAGCCAGUAAUCUCAUAGAAGCACAGCAGCUCUUCAGGGGAAGCUAGUGCUAACUGCGCAUUUCCUACCUGGUGCUUAAGUACAAGGCCAAGCUCUACAUCCAAAAAAGACUCAUCCUACACAGGGCACGGGUUGUCUGUUAUAGACCAGCUUGAGCUUGGUUCAUUUGGCUGCCGCACACAAAGCAACGCUGACCCAGGCAAGGAAAGGGCUGUAGGAAGGAAAGUGGUGGGAAAGAAAGGAAGGGCAGCGACUUUCUGACCUUGCUUUGCCACCCGGCCCAGCCAAUGCUGUGAAUACAGCUCUGCUGCAGUUGCAUCUAAAAAGGAAAGGCACAGCCCGUGCCCCCUUUUCCAGCCUUUCUUUUGCAGAUUAUCUUUAAGCUGUGGCAUUUCCCAGAACGUCAGCUUGGUGCUGAGAGCACAGGCAAUAGUAGCAGGUCUAGAAAGAAAAGCUUGGCUCACCACGAAGGGGUUGUUUGGAUGGAGCAAGGGUUGGGCCUCUAGAUCAAGUUUGCUUUGUAUCACUUCUAAUAUCAGAAUCUUCAUACAACUAGUUGAUUGCUUGUUUCUAGUUUUUAUCAGCUCUCCUUCCAGGUUUAUCUUCUCCAUAGGAUGGCACAUGUAAAAAAAAAAACCACAUACAGAAGUGAUGCUCAGAGUAGGAAGGUUUUACUUUACUGUAUAAGCAGAUCUGCCUUUACCCUUGGAGAGGUUAGUGCCAAGCUCAGUCAUGGGAAUGGUGUAUUUCAGUCAGCAGCAGUUUAUUUGUAUCCCUAAAUACAUGCAGCCUGACCACAGCUAGCAUUCCUGAAUGAAAGCUAAAGCAGAAGGCAGCACCAGGUCACAUGUGAUGGAAAAUGUCAGCGUUUGUCUGGCCAAAUCGGAAUCCGGAUGCCAUUGCAACAUCAGGUCCUCGUGUUCUUGCAGCCACAGCUGGAGGCUGCUGUGCAGCCCUGGCCUGGGGGCUCACCUGCACUCUCACCAGUGUAUGUCCCUAUGCUGUGGGUGUUUCUGGGACUGUGCUUUGGGAAAGGCCAAUCACAGCCUCCAUUGCACGCUCCAUUAACGGCAGUGUCCUCUGCACAACACAAACGUCUCAGUUCGGCUCUAAAACAACACCUGUCAGCCCAUCAGAAAUGAUCAGGGUUCCUCCUCUUCUCUGCGCUGGCCAACUCCUCACGUCACCCUGCUUUGUCACAGCCUGACCAUGGAUGAGCUUAUGAGAAAAAGGUCAGAGCAGGACACAGGUCAGGCAGAAACAGAGCAUCACAAAAGAGUAAGUCAGCCCAAACCCACAGACGGGAUCACUGCUGUUAGCCUGCAAGAAUCUGCCCAAAUAGCCUGAGAGAAAGCUGAAGCUCGAGCAGGCACCAAACCGGGCUGUAAUUCGUUGCAGAGUUAGAUCAUGGAGCUGUACUCGUCACUGUGGCACAGCCCAACCGAGACCUAACAGCUAUUACAAACAAACAGAACGCCCAGCCCUGUCUGUCUGUUCAAUUACAAAUCUUCCAAAACAGAACAUUUCCCCAAGUUGGUGACUCCAAAACUCAGAAAUGGAAACAAACUUCCUCUGGGUUACUGCGCAUUCCUUCGGCCCUUACUGUUUCCUAAAUGCAAUGCUUGUGGCGCCUGCUGAAAGCCCACUGAAACAGCUUUCCAAGUCCACUUAAGGGGAAGUGAUUCAGUUAUUUUUUUUCUGGAAUUAGGUCUUGAAAAACCAUUCGUGAAAUUGUUUAUGGAAACAAAAAUAAGAGCUGUCAACUACCGCCUGAUAAAGCAACGUUGAAACUGUGACAUUUGAUCAGACCAGAGAAUGAACUGCAAGACUUCCAGAUUCAUAUAUUAUAAUGCAAAUGAGUUUUGUAAAUUGUGACCUAGUUCCCAUGUUAGAAGCAGUUAGGACCAACAGCAGGAACUAUGCCGUGAAUGCAAGUGGGGGGGAAGCAAGGAAAUUAACGUUUGUUCUUAAUUUGAAAUGGAUUUUUAAUCACCUUCAGGUGCCACAAAAAAAAGAGGCCCACAGGCUUGUUUGCUAUAAUCACUCUGACACAAGAAUGCACGUAGGAGGCUUUGGUUUGCUAAUUGAAAUGUUUGACUGGUGUCAAAUGAAGCACCAGAAUAGAGCUUGCUGUGACUGAGCGCACAGUGGAGGUUGGUGAACUCAAAGCUUUCCAAUCUGAUGCUCAGAACCUUCACUCCAAGUAUCUUAGAUGAUGACUAUUAGACGAUGGCAAUCUCUCAGUUCAGUUGCUGUUUCUUCCUCCUGAAAAAGUAGCUCUUGGGUCUUCUCCAGGGUUUUAGCUGUGUAAAUAUCGGACACCUACUUGGUGCAAUUCAGCACAAUUAGUGAGAAAUACUCACAGAACCCUGCUGGUGCUCCAGCAGUGACCCCUCCACCCCACACAGUGCUGAGGCAGCUGCCUAUUGAACCCUAGUGUUCAGUUGUGGCUUCAGGCAAGAGAAAACUUGUUGAAAAGUAAGUAGAUCUUCAGCUUAAGUAUAUCUAGAGUUGGUAUCGUCAGCGGAAACUAUUAGCUGUGUAUGGAAGGGGUGGACGUUGACUCCACUGAAAAAUAGAGUCUCAGCUCCAUCUCGUGGGCAAAACGGUUUUCUGCAAAGCAGUUGAAGUGAGGAAACCUGGCUUCUGCUACCUCAAGGCCAUCAGGUCAUUAAUGAAAGGCAGUAAACAAAUCCCAGUACCUCUGUUCACUUCAAAGGUCUGAAACUUCUUGGAAGUUGAUGCAAAAUAUCAGACUACUGCAGGGCAGCUCCUAAGAGCCAACACGCUCACUGAGUUCAGUGGUGAAAGGUGGCCAGGAAAGCCUUCGUCUUUCCUGGAUGGAGUUCUCCACGUUAAUAUGGUACCUAAGAAGAAUCUUGAACCAACCAACGAAAAACAGAACAUAUGCAGAGUAAAUUCGAAUAUUCUCUCCUCAGUAACACAUUUAUAAGCCCUGUAAGAGGCACUGUGGGGAAACACUUCCAAGUAACAUGAAAUGCAAAAGGAUAAGGUCAUUAACCUCAGCAUACCCAGACAGCUAGGAAGCUUUUCAGCCACACAUUUCUGAAGUCUGACUCCCAGCAGAGCACAAGGUCACAAAGACAAGAAGCAUACCAUAGAGCCCUCAAAUCCAAGCCUGUUUCUGUUCUUAGACAAGAAGCAAAAAACCUCUGUUUGAACUUCAGCACAGCCCUGUUCUCUUCAUUUGAAAGGCUGGGAAAAGCGGUAGUUACUAUUAAGGCAAAAGAAUUCUUACUGGAUAUAAUUGUUCCUAUUCUACAGGCUUUUUAAAAAGGGACCCAGUUUUCUGUGUGUUUUACAGCAGCACAGGAACAGCAAUGGUCUGAAUGUACUAGCAUUCAUCUGCCUUCUUCACACUUUCUUGUUAGCAAUGAAAAUUCACGCCGACUUCCACUGUAUCUAUAUGGGGUGUAUUUAAGGCAAUUCCAUCCUUUCUAAUCAAAACCUUUCAAAGUUAACACUUCUUCAUAAUCCCGAGGUGUAAAUAAUAAUUCCCAGAAGUAUUCCAUAAAUCUUUUCAGAAAAAGGCAAGCAACCAACAGUCCAUCUUUGUUUCUCAUUAGAUCAGUCACCACUUGCACUCAACAGCACAGACUUUUGUCAAAGCAGACUACGGACAGAAUGCAGAGCAACGUUUACAGACACAAACAGAGCAGACUUGAUUUAUUUUUAUAGCGCCCUGGUUCUGAAAAUAAACAGUAUUUCACACUGCAACAAAAAGAAGAUACAAUUAAAGGAAACGGGUAGCAAAAUCAACUCAUUAAGUAACAUAUAAUUCAUUUUCACUGCAUGGGAUCCAGACUGCUAACUGUCUCCAUGGAAGUGGCAGGCCUGAGCAAUCCUGUGAGUGGGACACGAGGUCAGUGUCACAGGUGAAGUUAAUGAAGAACAGUAAAACAUCCUUUCCACAGUGAGAGGAAUUUAAGGGUGGGGAGGAGAAACCAGCAACAACAGCCAGGCAUGUAUCUAGGAGUGUUUUCAUUCAUCACUUUUCAGUAGACAAAAACUAUUCAGACUAACAAUUGGACAUAACAUUUUGGUCUUAUAUAUUCAAAUGCUAAAAAAAAACCACUUAAAAACAAUUAUGGUGUGUUCGACCGUGUGCAAUUAAAAAUAAUUUAGCCAGCAACAGAUUUUUUUCCAAAAGGGCAUAAUAUUCUACUGGCUGAAGUGUCUGUGUAUUUAAGUGGAAGUCUUACAACGAUUGCAGCUUCGUUUUGACUACUGCAUCAGCUUUGCUUACUAGGAAGGUGACCUACAUUCAGUCUUAUGCAUGGACACCGAGCCUGCUUAUGUAGCUCUCCCAGGCUGCCUUCCUGUACUUCUCUGCCUCUUGAAGACGGUCUGAAGCUGACAAGAUGCCACGUCCCACAAUAAUAAUGUCUGAACCUUUUUCACUAAUCACUUCCUUGGGGCUUAAGUACUUCUGCCCAAGGUUAUCACCUGAAACAGAUAAAAAAAAAUGCUUUUAAGUUUGUGCAAAACUGUAUCUACUACAAAACUUUCAAAGGUGCUGGAACACGUAUGUUAUUUCAGUUCUCACCCUAUGAAUCCAUGGCAAUGACUAGAAACUGUGCCUCCAACUAAUGAACCUCUACCUAUUACAGUUAUUACAGAUCAAAUUUGACAGAGUUCUCUUUUUGGAUGUUCUACCAAUUACAAUAGAUGGAACUGUUAUUCAAAGGAACAGUGAUUCCAAUGACUGAAAUAAAUUUCAGCCUUCUUAAAAUAGGCAGAACUCCAAACACUGAAGUAGAAGCUGUGAUUUCACUUCAGAUUUUGAAGUAUUGCAGAGAAACACAUCUUCCCUACCUGGAUAAGUACUGGGCAGACAGUUCAGUAAGUUAUGACUUCCAAUUCAUUGACACUGCAUCUAUAUCAGUAUCAGUCAUGUUACAGUUAGACUUCAGUGUUUAACUGAAUGCCUUCUACCUGCUCAGUAGUCACGCAUGUAAGCUAAUGCCCAUCUGCAGACAUUUCAUGUGCUUAAGGACUGUGCUUCAUGGUACACACCGACCUCAGCACAAGAAGAUCUAACAGAGAAGCUGUGUGGGAUUCUGGUUGCCCUUCAGAACUCCCAGGAAAGAGAUCAGUACAUCCAGAAAUACGCAGGGCAGCCCAUAUUAGGAAAAUGGCAAACACAGACUCCAGACGUGAGUAACCCAAUCCCCUUCAGAAGUCACUUUUUCCACCGAAGCCCAAAUCACUCACUCUAUUUACCAACAGACUACAAAUAUUUCAGGGAAUGUUACCUCCAGCUUGCAGCUGUACUCCUGGAGUUAAGUGAAGAAAUUCUGGUUUGUCACUAACUCUAGAUCCAGAUAUGAAUCCAAAAACAAAGUCAGGGUUGUCUUCAGCCAUCUGUACCUAAAAAGUAGCAAUAAACUGCAUCAAGUGAUAUAUCUAAAAUUAAGCUUGCCCACCAUUCUGUUUCUAAUUAACCUGUGCAGGGCGGGGGUAUAAAAUAUGGGAGCUUACUAUGUGCUAAGUGAAAGUUCAUUCAGUGUAUUAAUUAUUACAAAUUUAUUGCUAAUGAAAAAAAAACGUGGCCAAUGGCAAACCUGAUGUGCUCACUAGAACUCACAGCAUGAACUCCAACGUCAUUAGCCUACAGAUGUAACCUUCAAGCACCACACUCUCAGGUUCCUGUGCUUCCACAGAAAGAAAACUUAUCACAUAGCUGGAGAGACUUCUGGAAGUGUGGAUAUUAACAGCAUACAAAACCUCCCCUUGUCAGAGCACUUUGCAAGCCGUUAACCUUAAACAAAAGCGCCCACUUACCGCAGCUUUGGUGUAUUCACCAGUUGCCAGCGACCCCUGGGAACUCAUCUCAGCAAUCAGAAGGCAGCCACGCUGCAGGGGAAGGCCCACUUCCUUCAGUCCCUUCACAACUCCAGAGCCUGGGACCACAUGUGCGUUAACCACAUCCGACCAGGAUGCUAUUUUGAACACACCACCUAAGAACACGGAUAUAAAGACCCGGGCAAAGUGAAAUUAAUCAUCAGAAAUGCAUUAAACAAGAAGUGUGAAUUAAACAAAACAAGCAGUGCAGUAAACCAUUCCAAUUCCAAAAGGCUUGAAGCCUAACAGCCUUAACAGUCUGGUUUUAUCAGACAAACCUGAUGGCUACAUAAUCACAACGCUAUGGUAAGCUAAAAAUUCUACUUUCACAGGUGCAACAGUAUACAAGAUCACAGGGAGAAUAGUAUCAGAAAAAUGGAAAAAGCAUUGGGCAGUUGCAAAUGCAGUUAACAAAGGAAAGCCACAAGAAGCAUGCAAGCAUAAAAGAGCAUGCUGCCUUACAAGGCACACACACCCUUCUCCAGGCAAACAACCAUUCAGAAGUACUUACUGAGCACAAGCAUAGGUUCAUAAAAAGAUUUAGGCUUUGGAAAGGACCUCUGGAGGUCAUGCCCCCUCAGCAAGGCUAACUCCAAAACUAGAUCAGGUUGCUCAGGGCCUUGCCCUCAAGUUUUCUUCAAGGUCACAGGUCCCACAGUCUCUCCUGACAACUUGUUCCAGUGCUGCAGUUACACAGACUGGCAGCAAAAUUACGGCACAUCAAGGCUGAUGAUAAUCACCUUCAUACUGAUGUUUCACUGUGUUUCCAAUGUCUGCAAACUUCCUGUCUUCAAAAAUCAAGAACUCGUGUUGAUCUGCGAGCGCUCUCAGCUCCUUUACUACCUCUUGGGUGAAAUCAUUCAGGAUAUCUAUAUGAGUCUUUAGGAUACAAAUGCUGGGGCCCAGGCUGGCCGCUAACUGCAGCAGUUCUUUGGAUCCUGUGACAUCUGCAGAAAGGCACAAGUUUGUCUGCUUCUUUUCCAUGAGCGUGAGAAGCCUGGCUGCGACAGGAUGCACCCCGGGAAGCUCAGCACGAGCCCUGAAGCUCAGCUCUUUACAGACUCUUUUCACUGGAGUGGGACCAUUCCGAGCCCCUGGCUCAAACACAUUUCCCUGAAUGAAAUUCUUCACCUUCUCAACCAUCUCCACAUCCACUUCUCCCUGCUGCUGGAGAAUAUCUAACAUCCCGGACAACGUACACACAGAGUGUAGGCGAAUUCCAUGUUCUUCUAACCUGGCCUUUCCCCCCUGCUCCCUGUCCAGCAGCACUACAGCAUCUGUGACUUUUAAUCCCUCCUUCCGAAGAACUUCAGCAGUUUCCAGUACGCUAGAUCCACUUGUUACCACAUCUUCAAUGAUCAAACAUGUUUCUCCUGGAUUGAUGGUGCCUUCUACCAGCCGCUUGGUACCGUAAUCUUUCGCUUCUUUCCUCCGUAUAAGCAUUGGAAUCUGAUUUUCAGAGCUGAUAAUUGUGGCCAACGGCAAAGCUGUGUACGGAACACCACACACACAGUCAUACUGGAGAGCAGCGUCUUUUGCUGUUUGGAACAGGAGAUCAGCAACCAGGCGGAGAAGAGAGGGCCGGGAGGCCAGGCCGCGCAGGUCCACGUAGACGGGCGAGGCGAUGCCGCUCCGCAGCACGAAGUCUCCAAAGCGCACAGCGCGCGCCUCCAACAGCGCCGCCGCCACACGCUCCGCGCCGCCCGCCGCCAUCUGCCCGCCCGCUGCCCGGCGCCGGGAGAUGACGGAAACGGCGACACCGUGAGGAAGUGCGCAUGCGCGGAGGUGCGCCGCCUAUUGUCGCCCCCCCCGGCUCUCCCAGGCCGCGUUCACGCGUUCCGGGUGCACUUCGUUCCCUCUCCCAUCACCAACAACCCGCGUUGGGAAACGAGACUGAGCCGUUGUUCUCUGAACAAUUGAGUUUAAUCCAAAAUAAAUAAAGAAAAUAAAGCCCAGAAACUGCAUCGUUAGCACAGUCCGUUCAUAGGGAGGGGGCACAGUCCGAAGCAGUGUCCGUAGCGUUGGAUCACGCCUGGCGUAGCAGUGUGUUUCAGGCUGCACUGUGCGCUGACAUCGUUAAGGCUGUGGCGUUACUUUGCACCUUGACAACACCGUGCCAUCCGCUGGGCCGUCCCCCUUCCUCCUUCAGCUGGCUGUUGGAAAGCUGACGAGCACAGAGCUUUGCUCUCAGUGAACAAGGUUGAGGUGGCCAUGGUCUGUGCAGAGCCACGCUCAGCCAUCCCCCCACUCUGCCACAGCCAACACGCAGUGCUGACACAGCACAGUGCCAGGCCCAGCACGUGGUGGCACCGCAGGCCCAGCCCGGCAGCACAAGGCCUGGCCUCGCAUCCUUGGGAAGCACCAUGUUGGGAUGGAACGCUGCCAAUGAGCCGCAAAACAAACCCAGGCCCUGUGCUGGACAUUUGUCUCUGGGAGUUUACAUAGCCCAGGUCACCUGAUGCAGCCCUCUCAUCGCAAGGGCAUUAAAAUACAGUUAUAUAUAGUCACAUUGCACCACGCAGUUCUGCAUUCAGCCUUUGUGGCAUUUGUAACAAAGCCCACUGAGGGCACAGGCUUUGUCUCAGCAUUACCUUAGGUUAAAAGUAAAAUUAUUUUUAAGGUACGUGUUAAUGAAAAUGAAGCUGUUUAAAAUAAAAAGGCAGUGGACUGGGAGAGCUUUUAAAGAUUGUUAAAGCAGUAUUUAAGCCUCCAGUUUCUAUCAAAUGCAAACAGAAGAGAGAAAAGACACAGUAAGGCUUAAAUAUUCCCUUAAUCAAUCCAACCUUUUCCCCCC